GAAAAGUUCACAACGGAUACAUUAGUACAAAGUACUCUACACAGAAUUGCAACGAAAUGGACCCCAACUUUCGAGGUGGGGUACUUGUCCUUGUGUGGAGGCAUCUCAGAAGAGCCUGGAGACUCCUGUGCUGCCGUGGGCCGGAUGAGACUGAUAUAAAACUUUCAGUGGAAGAAACAUCACCAUAUAUUGGCCAAAGCUCUGUCCGUCCAUGGUGAAAAAACUGAUGUUGUUUUUACAG
Long non-coding RNA from Danio aesculapii, 241 nucleotides. RefSeq lists it as uncharacterized. The record is from RefSeq and is a predicted model, not a curated record. The transcript is spliced from 3 exons. Lineage: Eukaryota; Metazoa; Chordata; Actinopteri; Cypriniformes; Danionidae.